RNAcentral lists this ribosomal RNA (187 nucleotides) under Thermotogota bacterium. RNAcentral describes it as "Thermotogae bacterium (hydrothermal vent metagenome) partial 16S ribosomal RNA". It matches the Rfam family "Bacterial small subunit ribosomal RNA", at positions 1340 to 1533 of the family's 1533-position model. The record is from RNAcentral. Lineage: Bacteria; Thermotogati; Thermotogota.
AAUCACCUAUCAGCUAUGGGGUGGUGAAUACGUUCCCGGGCUCUGUACUCACCGCCCGUCACGCCAUGGGAGCCGGGAGCGCCUGAAGCCCCGCUACGGCGGGGUGAGGGCGAGCUCGGUGACUGGGGCGAAGUCGUAACAAGGUAGCCGUACGGGAACGUGCGGCUGGAACACCUCCUUUUCAGAG